GUACCUAGCACUGGGUCUUGCAAAGAGCAGAUGUUUGAUAAAUAUUUGUUAAACUGUUGGAUUCAAUCUAUUCUACGUUGGUUAAUAUUUCAGGGGCUCUGAACUCAGAGGACAGAGAUAUAUUCUGUCACCUUGUGAAUGCUUGGAAUCAGAUGAAAUAGCACACACAGCAUCUUAGAGUCAUUGCCAAUCCUAUUACUCUGAAAACAGAGACCACUGGUUCUUAUCCUCACAGAACUUCAGGAUGUGUGGUUGUCUGCUUUGGAAACUCUGACAUAUCUCCUUGUUUUUUAAUAUGUCUCUCAAGCCUUCUGAAAUGAAGCCAUUACUUUUUUUUAAAACUCCUUUGUUUUCCAGGAAGAGAUUGGCUCUCCACUGCCCAGGAACCAAGUCCAUAAGUGGAAAGUCCAGCAUCAAAAUGCCUUGCUGUGGAAGGAAAAGGGGCCACUGACCUGAAACUGACCAUCAAGAAUCCAGGUUCCUUCCACACCACUGAGGCAGCUUUGGAGGAAAGAAGAAUAGCAUAAGAUAACAACACUAUUCACUUCACCUGUGAAGACCAGAGACACAUCUUUAUUGAUAUACAGAGCAUGGCAAGUGGACAGUUAGCUCUCAGUUCUCCUCCCAUCACAACCACAUUAGGGCUUUGAGAAAGUCACUUAAUUUAUUUCAACCUGUUUCCUUGUAUUUAAAAUAGGAGCAUUACUGUUAGUAGAGUUGUGAUCUGACCUAACCAUUCUGGAGAAUAAUUUGGAACUAUACCCAAAAGGCUACGAAACUGUGCAUACCUUUUGUUCCAGCAAUACCACUGCUAGGUCUGUAUUCCAAAGAGAUGUUUUAAAAAGGGAAAAGAACCUAUUUGUGAGAAAAAAAUUAUAGCAGCUCUUUUUGUGGUGGCAAAGAAUUGGAAAUUAUGUGAAUGCCCAUAAAUUGGGGAAUGGCUGAACAAUUAUGAUGGAAUGCUCUUGUGAUAUAAAAAAUAAAGAGCAGGAUGUUUUCA
RNAcentral lists this long non-coding RNA (1000 nucleotides) under Phascolarctos cinereus (koala). Its description in RNAcentral is "lncRNA (ENSPCIG00000035575.1)". Lineage: Eukaryota; Metazoa; Chordata; Mammalia; Diprotodontia; Phascolarctidae. The record is from RNAcentral.